AUUGAACGCUGGCGGCAGGCCUAACGCAUGCAAGUCGAGCGGAUGAAGGGAGCUUGCUCCUGGAUUCAGCGGCGGACGGGUGAGCAAUGCCUAGGAAUCUGCCUGGUAGUGGGGGAUAACGUCCGGAAACGGGCGCUAAUACCGCAUACGUCCUGAGGGAGAAAGUGGGGGAUCUUCGGACCUCACGCUAUCAGAUGAGCCUAGGUCGGAUUAGCUAGUUGGUGGGGUAAAGGCCUACCAAGGCGACGAUCCGUAACUGGUCUGAGAGGAUGAUCAGUCACCUGGGAACGGAGACAGGGCCCAGCCUCCUCAGGGAGGGGCCAGGGGGGAUUUUUGGCAAAGGGGCGAAAGUUUUACCCACCCGGGCCGCGUGUGUGAAAAAGGUCUUGGUAUUUUAAAACAUUUAAAGUUGGGGGAAAGGCAAGUAAUUUAAUCCCUUGCUGUUUGCAGUUUCCAAAAAAAAUAAGCCCCGGCUAACUUCGUC
Molecule: ribosomal RNA, 484 nt
Filed under: uncultured bacterium
Lineage: Bacteria
Description: partial 16S ribosomal RNA
Rfam family: Bacterial small subunit ribosomal RNA
Source: RNAcentral